This 515-nucleotide ribosomal RNA is filed under the name Staphylococcus aureus. RNAcentral's name for it is "partial 16S ribosomal RNA". Lineage: Bacteria; Bacillati; Bacillota; Bacilli; Caryophanales; Staphylococcaceae. The record is from RNAcentral.
UUAGCCGUGGCUUUCUGAUUAGGUACCGUCAAAAUGUGCACAGUUACUUACACAUAUGUUCUUCCCUAAUAACAGAGUUUUACGAUCCGAAGACCUUCAUCACUCACGCGGCGUUGCUCCGUCAGGCUUUCGCCCAUUGCGGAAGAUUCCCUACUGCUGCCUCCCGUAGGAGUCUGGACCGUGUCUCAGUUCCAGUGUGGCCGAUCACCCUCUCAGGUCGGCUAUGCAUCGUUGCCUUGGUAAGCCGUUACCUUACCAACUAGCUAAUGCAGCGCGGAUCCAUCUAUAAGUGACAGCAAGACCGUCUUUCACUUUUGAACCAUGCGGUUCAAAAUAUUAUCCGGUAUUAGCUCCGGUUUCCCGAAGUUAUCCCAGUCUUAUAGGUAGGUUAUCCACGUGUUACUCACCCGUCCGCCGCUAACAUCAGAGAAGCAAGCUUCUCGUCCGUUCGCUCGACUUGCAUGUAUUAGGCACGCCGCCAGCGUUCAUCCUGAGCCAGGAUCAAACUCUAAGCC